UUGGUUUCUUCGUAAUACAGAAAUCGGUUACCCUAUAUCAUACAUGGAACAAGCCCAGAGGAACAUUAUCAGAUUGCUGAUUUACUUCUCAUGGCUAGCCGGGUGCCUGAAAAUUCCGCUGGAAGAACUCAAGAUUUUCCUUUUAUUCCAUGCUUUGAGGCAGAGAGGUAACCAUCUAAGCAUUUUAAAUUCAUGGAAAUAUUUAAUCUUCACAUUAUGCCUAUAAGGAACUGCAUAUUGAGUCUUGAAAGUAUCUAGUACAUGUACUGGAGGAACUCCAAUAUUUAAAACCAAAGAAGAAAUCUGAUGAAGGAGACUAAAAGGAAGCCUCUAGAUGAAGAAGAAAAAUGAAGAGAACAUUAUUACAUGGGAGCUAAGAAAAGAGACUGUCGCAAAAAAUAGGAGUUUGAUCUUCUUGAUGAACAUUAUAAUCAUUUUGUCAGGAUUUGGUCCAGAAUUGGAUUACUUUUAUAAAUACUGCCAAGACGAUGAUAACCUGUAUUUAGCUUAAUGUAAGGAUAUCAUAGAAAUGUCUGACAAAUGUCUGUAUGCAUUCAUGUUCAUUAUGCACUUCCUCAUGGAUUCUUCUGGAUGAUUAUAAUUAUUUAAAUUAUUGAGCUGGAUGCUUAGUUUAGUAUUCAUUUUCUCUUUAUCCUCACAGGCAAAAUACAAUAUACUUUCGUCAUGUUUGAU
RNAcentral lists this long non-coding RNA (693 nucleotides) under Homo sapiens (human). RNAcentral's name for it is "HSALNT0339210". The record is from RNAcentral. Lineage: Eukaryota; Metazoa; Chordata; Mammalia; Primates; Hominidae.